UAAUCUAUCGCCCACGCGUAAUGCCUCGAUGCUAAGCAUCUCUCAUUUUGCAUCUCGUUCGUUGCCAUUCAUCUCGUCGUGUAAAACGCAAAUAAAAUGGAAAGAAAUAUUUUUUAUUCCAAGAAGCAAUUAUUCAAACAACAAUUUAUCAACGGAUAAGAAAAUCAGAAAUGUCCCUUUUAAUAUUUUUCAAAUUAAUAUUAAAACCAUCUUUCUCUUCUUUUUUACACUCUUACUUAUCUGAAAUUCUUUAUCUCCUAAUUUCGAUAAACCAUUUUACAAAACGUAGGCUAUUGUCCGUUUUACGUUUAACUGUUAUGAAAUUUUGCAGUCCAUUUACGCAUAAUCUUGCGAGUAAAGUACAUUUUGCCAAAAGUAAUCGAGCGUCUGUCUACUUUUGAACAAUACUGUACCCAACAGCUACUUACAGUGGCUACAAAAAGUAUUUCUGUAUUAUUUCUACUAUUCUGUUUAUCCCAGCGUGCUAAUCAAUUAUAUUAAUUGAAACAUAUUAAUUGUCCUCUGUCUGCAAAAGCCUUACCGACAUUUACACGCUGGAUCGUUUAGGAUCAUGCAAUAUCUGUUUACGUUCUCGUGCUUUAAAAAGUGUGCUCAAAAAUUCUUGAAUACUCCUGCAAGUUGUUAGAAUAUCUUCCAAUAAUUUUCAUAUCGAUACAUGUGAAUCUUUUUAAGCGAAGCGGAAUCUAAGCAAAAAUACGAAGAAAGUGGAAAAUCGCUUAAAGUCACUGGUCGAAAACCAUCCACUAUGCAGAUGGACAGAUAAAUUUCGCGUCACUUGAUAGUACUAUCGUAUGACUACGAACUAUUGACACUAGCUGAAAGUGAAAUGUAACGGCUGAUGAAAAAAAAUUGAAAAAGAUAGAGAUACGUAAGUAUUAGCAUUAGGUUGGCAUAAAAGUUUCUUUCGUUUUGUGAGGAAAUAAUAAAUGUACAUUUUUUGUAUCAUAUUAUUGUAUUGAAUUAUGUAUGAUCUAUUUUGUAGUAAUAGAAUCCAUUUUAUUUUAUUCGUACAGAAUUCAUUAAUAAUAACAUUAUAUUUCCUUAUAAAACUAAAGAAACUUUUGGGACAACCUAACGCAUAUAAAUACCUUUUCACAGCCACUGUAUAAGAUUAUAAAAGAUACUGAUAUACAGGAUAUUGUUAGCUGUAGCUGCACAGCCACCACGCACUCAGCAUCGCAAAUAUCGAAAGCCCUGAAGAAAAUUUGAAGAAGAAAUGCUGUAAUUUUAUAAAACUGAAUUCUAAUCGACGAGACGAGUAAACGUGUGACAGAUAUCGUAGAAUAGAAAAAAAAGUGUGUAAUAGGCAAAAAAAGAAAUGUUUAAUAUAAAUUUUACUUAGAAUUCAUACACGUAAGUAGAUAUGACUUUUCUGCCAGUCACUCACUGUGCAUUAUCUGACAUAAUUUAUCUCUCGUACUUAUUCUUUCAUCCAGGCAAAGGAAGCUGUCGGAACAGAUUUAAUUCCCGUUCAUUAGAUUCGUCGCCUUACUGAAUACGAUAUUCUCGAGUUCGCGGUUCAAGGGAAAGCGAAGAAUUCUGGUGGGGUCGAGAGCAACGUUCAAGAUGAAAUCCUCGGCCCUUGUUAAAUCGUCUCGGUCGGGGUCGAACAAUGCGUUCGCCAGCAUCCUCGUUUCUCGGAGUACGAGAUCGUUUACCCUCGAGUGAUCCCGAAUGAGAGCGCGCGGAACAGAAGAUCGACCCACGAAGACCGAGAAACUUGGCGCGAGUAUCUCCACCAAGAGCCGGUGUUCCUCGAGAUCAGCAACUGGACCUUAAGGACCAUGGACAACGAUCGAUUGAUACUGUCGUCGAAUUUCACCGUGAAUUGGGUGCGCCAGGGUAAAACCAAGUCCGAGCGACGUAACGCCAAGGCGAACUGCGAUCUUCGACAAGGCAGCUUGGAAGGAGACGCGAGUUCCUUCGUCGUCGUGACGAUAUGCAAAGAAGAAGUGUACGCCUUGAUGUUGAUCGGGCAGAGAUCGUUCUUCGUUCAGCCGCUGACGAAUGGCCAGCAUGUGAUGUUUCAGCCGAAAAACGAAAAGUGGUGGUCGAUCAGGAAUAAUUCGAGCUUCGUGUCUGUGAAUCCGGAAAAUCCUGCAGGUGAGAAGGAUCGUUAUCGCGAUGGCUUUUCAUCUUUCGUUAGACGGUUGGAUGUAGGUGAUUGGUUGAUCGAUUUACCGACUUCCUUGCCAAUUAUGUUAUAAGCUUCUUACUUUGCGAUCCGCCGUUAAUUGC
Long non-coding RNA from Bombus terrestris (buff-tailed bumblebee), 2259 nucleotides. RefSeq lists it as uncharacterized. The record is from RefSeq and is a predicted model, not a curated record. NCBI's taxonomy places the organism in Eukaryota, Metazoa, Arthropoda, Insecta, Hymenoptera, Apidae. The transcript has 2 exons.